AAGUCGUAACAAGGUUUCCGUAGGUGAACCUGCGGAAGGAUCAUUCUUGAAUUUGGCCUUGUGCCUAUUCAUUUGGCCCGUGAAUUAUUUUUAUUUGGUUGGAGUCCGAUUUUAUCCUUAAUCUUUGUAACUGAACAACUUUAAGUUACAUUGAGAAUGUAUUUGAACGACUAUAGAAUACUUUAGGUUAAAAUUGUAUUGCUAAUGUUACUACAAUAUUGACUGAACGUCUUUAGGUUAAGUUGAUGUAAUAUUGCAUGAUUGUGUAAACAUAACUGAACGACUUUAAGUUGUGGUCUACACUGGACUUAAUUGCAUGUCCAACCAAAGGUGUUUAGCUUUAGACAGUAGUCUACUGCUGGCACCAAUUGCACCAGUGAAAUGUGUCUAAGAUACUUGCAUAAAUUAAAACUUUUAGCAACGGAUCUCUAGGCUCCCAUUUCGAUGAAGAACGCAGC
RNAcentral lists this unclassified non-coding RNA (458 nucleotides) under fungal sp. RNAcentral describes it as "partial internal transcribed spacer region". The stretch from base 1 to 46 matches the Rfam family "Eukaryotic small subunit ribosomal RNA", at positions 1786 to 1831 of the family's 1831-position model. The record is from RNAcentral. Lineage: Eukaryota; Fungi.